RNAcentral lists this ribosomal RNA (1342 nucleotides) under uncultured bacterium. RNAcentral describes it as "bacterial SSU rRNA". It matches the Rfam family "Bacterial small subunit ribosomal RNA", at positions 28 to 1381 of the family's 1533-position model. The record is from RNAcentral.
GACGAACUGUCUGGCGGCGUGCUUAACACAUGCAAGUCGAACGGAAAGGCCCUGCUUGCAGGGUACUCGAGUGGCGAACGGGUGAGUAACACGUGGGUGAUCUGCCCUGCACUUCGGGGUAAGCCUGGGAAACUGGGUCUAAUACCGGAUAGGAGCCAUUUUUAGUGUGAUGGUUGGAAAGUUUUUUCGGUGUAGGAUGAGCUCGCGGCCUAUCAGCUUGUUGGUGGGGUAAUGGCCUACCAAGGCGGCGACGGGUAGCCGGCCUGAGAGGGUGGACGGCCACAUUGGGACUGAGAUACGGCCCAGACUCCUACGGGAGGCAGCAGUGGGGAAUAUUGCACAAUGGGCGCAAGCCUGAUGCAGCGACGCCGCGUGGGGGAUGACGGCCUUCGGGUUGUAAACUCCUUUCGCUAGGGACGAAGCUUUUUGUGACGGUACCUAGAUAAGAAGCACCGGCUAACUACGCGCCAGCAGCCGCGGUAAUACGUAGGUGGCAAGCGUUAUCCGGAAUUAUUGGGCGUAAAGCGCGCGUAGGCGGUUUUUUAAGUCUGAUGUGAAAGCCCACGGCUCAACCGUGGAGGGUCAUUGGAAACUGGAAAACUUGAGUGCAGAAGAGGAAAGUGGAAUUCCAUGUGUAGCGGUGAAAUGCGCAGAGAUAUGGAGGAACACCAGUGGCGAAGGCGACUUUCUGGUCUGUAACUGACGCUGAUGUGUGAAAGCGUGGGGAUCAAACAGGAUUAGAUACCCUGGUAGUCCACGCCGUAAACGAUGAGUGCUAAGUGUUAGGGGGUUUCCGCCCCUUAGUGCUGCAGCUAACGCAUUAAGCACUCCGCCUGGGGAGUACGACCGCAAGGUUGAAACUCAAAGGAAUUGACGGGGACCCGCACAAGCGGUGGAGCAUGUGGUUUAAUUCGAAGCAACGCGAAGAACCUUACCAAAUCUUGACAUCCUUUGACAACUCUAGAGAUAGAGCCUUCCCCUUCGGGGGACAAAGUGACAGGUGGUGCAUGGUUGUCGUCAGCUCGUGUCGUGAGAUGUUGGGUUAAGUCCCGCAACGAGCGCAACCCUUAAGCUUAGUUGCCAUCAUUAAGUUGGGCACUCUAAGUUGACUGCCGGUGACAAACCGGAGGAAGGUGGGGAUGACGUCAAAUCAUCAUGCCCCUUAUGAUUUGGGCUACACACGUGCUACAAUGGACAAUACAAAGGGCAGCGAAACCGCGAGGUCAAGCAAAUCCCAUAAAGUUGUUCUCAGUUCGGAUUGUAGUCUGCAACUCGACUACAUGAAGCUGGAAUCGCUAGUAAUCGUAGAUCAGCAUGCUACGGUGAAUACGUUCCCGGGUCU